RNAcentral lists this unclassified non-coding RNA (345 nucleotides) under Hevea brasiliensis (rubber tree). Lineage: Eukaryota; Viridiplantae; Streptophyta; Magnoliopsida; Malpighiales; Euphorbiaceae. The record is from RNAcentral.
GGAAUUAUGAAUCAAUCAGAAACAAAGGAAAUUGGACCACUAGAGAUGCUGCCAUGGCUAUCAUCAAAUGCAGCCAAAGCUCUCUCUAAAUUAGAAACAAUAUCAGAAAUGGUGGGUCUGUCUUUGCCUUCCAAAUGUACACAAUGCAUUGCAGUGUAAGCCACCAAUUCCACUGCUUCUACUUCUUCACUUGCCUCUGCAGUCCCUACUCUCUUAUCCAAAAUCUUGUUCAAUUCUCCAGCCAUAAUUCCUGCUACUCCAUAGUCCACUACACUCAUUGGUGCACCUCCGUUCUCUUCGCUCUUGAAUAUCGCUCUCUUUCCUGUCAAAAGUUCUAAUAAUACC